GGAGGGGAGAUAUGUUUACAUGUUCUCACCUCCCCUACUAUUUUUCAGGUAUCGCGGGCGACGAGUAGUGGGACGAGACGUGAGGUACGUGGGUAGCGGUCGAUAGAGCUUCCGCUAUCUAGUUCUCCGUGUUGUUGUAUAGCUCUCUUUCUGGUGUCGACCCUAUCGAGCCUGUUUGGCUGCUGUUUUUGGGUUUGCGCACGCUUAUCCGGCGAUCUGAGGCUGUCCUGAUGCCUCCGGAGGUGAGCACGGUGAUCGUGGGUCAGUGCAGAUCACAGUGCUCACCUCACUUUGGAUCAACAGUGUCCGGUUAGCCCUGUUUGGCGCAAUCUUCCCCCACUGCGCGCUGUUUGCUGAACCUUCGGGUUGCUCCCGCGCUUCCCACAGUGACCUGUUGCGCUCCAGACCGUGAGCACGGCCUCCGGUACGUCGAGACCUAUCAGUAUGUGUCUCAGCAGAACUUAGAAGUCCUCGGUUUGCGUGUACGGGCUAUGUUAUCACCCAAUUUACAUGAAAUAUUGGGAUUUUAUGUAAAUUCAGGGGCUUUUGUGCAAUUGUGCACUUUGGGGCUACUGUGGACAGUGUGUGUGAGUGUGUUUGACCUCUGGACUGAUUGUCCAUGAUCCGUUAGCUUUUGGAGAAAUUGAAGAGUCGAUUUCGAUGCGUUUUUCGGCGAAUUCGCCGAAAGAACGCGGUUUCGAUUCGAAUUUCUUCCGACGUCGUUUGGUUGCUCUGUGAGUGGUCGCUAAGCCUUGUUGGCUGGUCACCAUCAUCACUUUGUGGGUUCGGUGAUGACGGGUGAGCGACGGUGGGUUCCGGUGUCGAAUUUGACACUUCCGGGAACCCGUAUUCGUACAAUUAUCCGGCGAUAAUCGUGUCGCGGUGUUUAUCUUAUGUUUGCUGCCAAAACAUCCAAAUUUGAGUGUUUUAUGGUAACAGGUGACUUGUAGCAUGGGUCGGUGCGUUUCGGGACAUUUCAGUGGAUCCUCCUUAGGUCCUGUUGACGUUCUUUUGCAGUCAGGUGACAGGCGCGACAGUUGUACAGGUGGGUACUUCGAUGCGACGUCGGUACAGUGGUGCACGUUCGGCGAUGGUUUCUUACCCUUGCUCCUUUGUUAUUAUAUAUGCAUACGUUAUAUAUUGAGCUUUGCACCUCUGUUGUUUACGUUACACCCACGUUGUUUGAUUAUACUCUACUCGUUGUUUGCAUGCUUAGUAUCCUGAGUAGGAGUAGAGUAGUUCUAUCCGCAUCCGUAUCGGUUGACCUAGUUGGUCUGUUGAGCAUCCGUAUCUGUUGACCUAGUUGGUCUGUUCUGCAUUCCUCUACUCAGUUAGUUCCAUAUUGAUAUCAUGCUUAGGAGUAGAGUCGACUUAUCGAUUCACUAUAUCUGUGAUUUGGUUGGGCGGUUCCCUUAUUUUGAUAUCUAUGACCUAUUCGGUCGAGUUGCUACAGUUCUAUCUAUAUCUGUGAUUUGGUUGGGCGGUUCCCCUAUUUUGAUAUGUAUGACCUAUUCGGUCGAGUUGCUACAGUUCUAUCUUGACGUAACCGAUUAGUUGCUGAUGGCCUAUACGGUCGGUGAGCCCCAAGGGGCUGGAUUGUCGGCUAGUUGCCGAUGGAUGAUCUUUGAGCAUACUACAUUGAUUGCCACUGCAGGUACGCAUUUCACGAACACCAGCGGUCUGAUCCACCGCAAGAGGGUGUUCUUUUCCGGAAAAGUGGUUGGAUUGCCAACCCGUGAGCCCAGGGGCUUUAUUGCGAGGGUAUAUGCUUCUGACCCAGGGGCUUCAUUGCGAGGGUCAGGUACUGUGCUUCUGACCCAGGGGCUUCAUUGCGAGGGUCAGGUACAGGUUGAGCAGUGUGGCAUGGGCCUGAGGUCUUCGGACCAAUAGGGUAGCGAGAUUGGGUACUUUUGAGCUGAUCGUUAGUUGACGCAUGCAUACAGUAGCUGUAGUGUUUAUUUUCAGUACAUCCUUAUUUGUUUAUUGCAGCUACUGUUUUAUUUACCUGCAUCUAUACUUGUCAGCUCCUUACUUAUCAGCAUCUUUACUUUCCAGCACUUAUGUCUAUCUAGUUCUCCGUGUUGUUGUAUAGCUCUCUUCCUGAUCCGGUGAGUACUCCUCGACUUCUUCGGCUUGCGGUACCCACUGGGAGGGGAGACAUGUUUACAUGUUCUCACCUCCCCCACCAUUUUUCAGGUAUCGCGGGCGGUGAGGGUUGAGACGAGGCGUGAGGUACGCGUGUAGCGGUCGAUAGAGCUUCCGACCCAGGUUAUUUCGGUUUAGUUUCUUACCCUUCUUACUUCGGUUGAUGUAUAGUUUAGUUGGUUCAUGUGGUUCAGUGUUUAUUUACAUUUGAAAAUGUGGAUUUCUGGAUUUUGUAAAAUAAAAGGUUUUCUACCCCUCGUGGUAGCGUUUUUAAAGAAUAAAGGUUUCCGUGUAGGAAACAGUUUUCAAAAGAAUUUUUCGUGGAUUUCUAUUUAAACAUUGAAUGUAAAACUGUGAUGUGAAUGGUGAAUGUAUGAAUGUAUAGGUAUCUUUAUAUUCAUUUGGUUGUGGUUGUUUCCUGGCU
This 2569-nucleotide long non-coding RNA is filed under the name Ananas comosus (pineapple). RNAcentral's name for it is "long non-coding RNA (ACOM_LNC000782)". Lineage: Eukaryota; Viridiplantae; Streptophyta; Magnoliopsida; Poales; Bromeliaceae. The record is from RNAcentral.